This 254-nucleotide ribosomal RNA is filed under the name uncultured bacterium. RNAcentral's name for it is "partial 16S ribosomal RNA". It matches the Rfam family "Bacterial small subunit ribosomal RNA", at positions 524 to 776 of the family's 1533-position model. The record is from RNAcentral.
UACGUAGGGUGCAAGCGUUGUCCGGAAUUAUUGGGCGUAAAGAGCUCGUAGGCGGUUUGUCGCGUCUGCUGUGAAAACUGGAGGCUCAACCUCCAGCCUGCAGUGGGUACGGGCAGACUAGAGUGCGGUAGGGGUGACUGGAAUUCCUGGUGUAGCGGUGAAAUGCGCAGAUAUCAGGAGGAACACCGGUGGCGAAGGCGGGUCUCUGGGCAGUAACUGACGCUGGAGGAGCGAAAGCGUGGGGAGCGAACAGG